AUUCUACCCAUGUGGGGAAGGAUGAGAAGCUUCGACUAAGGUUCGAUUCGAGCGCAGCGAGAAAGCGUUGCCGCAGGCAAC
Molecule: small RNA, 81 nt
Filed under: Salmonella enterica
Lineage: Bacteria; Pseudomonadati; Pseudomonadota; Gammaproteobacteria; Enterobacterales; Enterobacteriaceae
Also listed under: 1 other name
Description: partial RtT sRNA
Rfam family: RtT RNA
About the family: This family represents a bacterial cis-regulatory element known as RtT RNA. The exact function of RtT is unknown although it is thought that it may be involved in changing the cellular response in relation to amino acid starvation.
Source: RNAcentral